AAAGUCGUAACAAGGUAACCGUAGGUGAACCUGCGGUUGGAUCAUUAAAAAAGUGGCAUGCUUUAGAGCGUGCCUUACUAGGGCGAAAGCCCUCUAAACCUUGUGCAAUUUGGCAGGACUUUGGGCCUGCCCAAGUAUAGACAACGCCUUUAAAAAGUCUGUGAAAGUGCACACGAAAGUGAACACAAACACCAAUGGAAAACAACUUUUGACAACGGAUCUCUUGGCUCUC
RNAcentral lists this unclassified non-coding RNA (232 nucleotides) under Chytridiomycota sp. RNAcentral describes it as "partial contains small subunit ribosomal RNA, internal transcribed spacer 1, and 5.8S ribosomal RNA". The stretch from base 1 to 47 matches the Rfam family "Eukaryotic small subunit ribosomal RNA", at positions 1785 to 1831 of the family's 1831-position model. The record is from RNAcentral. Lineage: Eukaryota; Fungi; Chytridiomycota.